GGGCUCGUAGCUUAGCCUGGUGGAGCAUCCGACUGAUAAUCGGACGGUCGGGCGUUCAAAUCGCCCCGAGCCCA
RNAcentral lists this transfer RNA (74 nucleotides) under Candidatus Iainarchaeum sp. RNAcentral describes it as "tRNA-Ile". It matches the Rfam family "tRNA". From Rfam's summary of the family: Transfer RNA (tRNA) molecules are approximately 80 nucleotides in length. Their secondary structure includes four short double-helical elements and three loops (D, anti-codon, and T loops). The record is from RNAcentral. Lineage: Archaea; Nanobdellati; Candidatus Iainarchaeota; Candidatus Iainarchaeia; Candidatus Iainarchaeales; Candidatus Iainarchaeaceae.